This 74-nucleotide transfer RNA is filed under the name Methanomicrobium sp. RNAcentral describes it as "tRNA-Trp". It matches the Rfam family "tRNA". Rfam says of the family: Transfer RNA (tRNA) molecules are approximately 80 nucleotides in length. Their secondary structure includes four short double-helical elements and three loops (D, anti-codon, and T loops). Further hydrogen bonds mediate the characteristic L-shaped molecular structure. tRNAs have two regions of fundamental functional importance: the anti-codon, which is responsible for specific mRNA codon recognition, and the 3' end, to which the tRNAs corresponding amino acid is attached (by aminoacyl-tRNA synthetases). tRNAs cope with the degeneracy of the genetic code in two manners: having more than one tRNA (with a specific anti-codon) for a particular amino acid; and 'wobble' base-pairing, i.e. permitting non-standard base-pairing at the 3rd anti-codon position. Lineage: Archaea; Methanobacteriati; Methanobacteriota; Methanomicrobia; Methanomicrobiales; Methanomicrobiaceae. The record is from RNAcentral.
GGGGUUGUGGCCUAGUCCGGCAUGGCGACGGGCUCCAAACCCGUCGAUCGUGAGUUCAAAUCUCACCAACCCCA